Molecule: long non-coding RNA, 2852 nt
Organism: Neoarius graeffei (lesser salmon catfish)
Lineage: Eukaryota; Metazoa; Chordata; Actinopteri; Siluriformes; Ariidae
Exons: 3
Source: RefSeq, a predicted model, not a curated record
GCUCCAUUUAGUGCCGAGAAGAAAACGAACCUUUUCAGGACUAAAACACGAAUGAUGGAGGGAAAGAGAUCAGACUCACCAGAACCCAGCUGUGUGUCCAUGAAGAGUGACCGGUCAAUGAACCCCCCAUAUAACUUCAGAGACAGAGAUAGUCCUGCUGAUCUGAGUUACCCUGCCUUUUUGAAGGGACUACCUGCUGAAUCUUGUGAAGAAAUCUCCCCUUUGUAUUUGUAUGCCAUUGUUUUUGCCAUAACUUGCUUACUUUAGUUUUGAUUAUGGUUUUAACUUCGUUUUUACUUAAUGGCACACCUAAAUCACCCAAACUCAAUUGAAGGGCUUUUUUGGCCAGAGAGUCCACUACUUCAUUGCCAUGUAUUUCUACAUGUGCUGGAACCCAAAUGAAACUUACAGCUAUAUCCCUAUGAUUUAAACUGUAUAAACUCUGAUAAAUUUCAUAUAUUAAGUCAAGCCUGCAAGAAGACUGAAAAUUUAGAAUACUGACCAAAGCUGCCAUGGAAUCUGAACAUAUAACAAAACUGUUUGGCUUAGAAUCUUCUAUCCAGACCAGUGCAAAUAAAAUAGCUAACAGCUCCACAGAAUAAACUGCCAGGUUGUCUGAUGUUCUACGCUUAAGUGAUGUUUCAAACUCCGGUAUGUAUACUGCUGCUCCUGUCUUUCCUGUGUCUGGAUCUUUUGAACCAUCAGUGUAUACUUGAACCAUUCCAUUAUAUUUAGUGCUUAGGUACUGUUGCACCAUAGCAUUCAUCCCACCAUAUUCGUUACCAUGCUUUGACAGCUUAGCAAUUUCAAAAUCUACUGUAGGCAUGGGGAAUAACCAAGGAGGAGUAGCUGGUAAUGCUACUGUGCAGCUCAGAGAUAUUUUUGUCAAGCCCAACUUCUCAGCUUCACCAUCUCCUAUCCAUCCAAAACUAUUAUAUUGCUUGUGCCCAUGUUCCCAACACUUUUCUAGGACUGCUUUAGUUGGGUGAUCCUGUCUGUGUCCCUGCAAUGUGGCCCAGUAAGUCAUGUUUAGCUGUAAUCGUCACAGUGAAAGUGGCAUUUCACCAACCUCUACCUGCAGUGCUGGAACUGGUGAAGUCUUAAAAGCCCCACAACAUAAACGUAAAGCCUGUGCCUGAAUAACAUCCAGUUUCUGCAAAUGGGAUUUUGCAGCUGACCCAUAUGUAAUACAUGCAUAAUCUAGGGCUGACCUAAUUAAAGCAGUAUAGAUGUGCUUAAGAGACCUCAUACUUGCACCCCAGCUACUUCCUAUGAGACAUCUCAUAAUAUUUACUGCCUUUUUGCACUUGGUUAUGACCUUCUGGAUAUGUUCUCCAUAUGUUAAUUUAUAGUCCAUCCACACACCUAGAAAUCUAAUACAUAAGACUUGCUUAAUUGGCUGCCCAUAAAGAGUAAUCUGAACAUUAGGGUUAACUUGCUUUUUGGAGAAACACAUUACUUGGGUUUUAUCAACAGAGAAACGAAAACCCCAUUUGUUACCCCACUCUUCCACAUUAUUGACAGCUACUUGUAGUUUCUUUUGCACAAAUGCUGCAUUACGGCCUCUGACCCAUAGCGCCCCAUCGUCUGCAUAUAAUGACCUACCAAGACUAGCAUCAACUCCAGAAAAAACAUCAUUAAUCAUAAUGUUAAAAAGAAUAGGACUACAUACACUGCCUUGGGGAGUUCCAUUUUCUAUGGAGUAAGUAUUAGAAUGAGAUGCCCCAACCCUUACUUCUAUACUCCUGUCCCUUAAAAAAUCCAUCACCCAGUUAUACAUUCUCCCACCUAUGCCCAAGGAAUCUAACUUGAUGAGAAGACCCUCUUUCCACAGCAUAUCAUAUGCCUUCUCCACAUCAAAAAAUACUGCAUUCACUUGCUCCUUGUUGGUCUGAGCCUUCCUGAUCUCAUUUUCUAGACGUACAACUGGGUCCAUGGUGGUCCUUCCUUUCCUAAAUCCACUCUGAUGGCAAGUAAACAAAUUUCUGCUUUCCACCACAUAUGUUAGUCUGUCUGUAACCAUACGUUCCAUAAUUUUGCACAUAUUUGAUGUUAAGGCAAUGGGUCUAUAGCUAGUUGCCUCACACUUAUCUUUACCAGGUUUUCCAAUAGGUAUAAUAACGGAGUGCUUCCAAGCCAGUGGUAGGGUCCCUGAUUCCCAUACCCUAUUAUAUAGUUUUAAAAUUAUUUCCUGAGCUUCAGGGGUUAAACACUCCACCAUCUUAUAGCAUAUUUCAUCCUUACCAGGGGAUGUUGCUCUAACCCCAGCCAAGGCUCUUUUCAGCUCAAAUAAGGAAAAAGGAACAUCCAAUGCUCCAUUACCAUCAUUCUUUUUAUCAAAUAUGUUAGGGUGAUCUCUUAACAUUUCAUUUCUAGCUGCUCUUGCUUCUGGGGUCAAAUUCUCAGAGCUAUGAACUCUUACAAAUGUUUUAGCUAAUGCUUCAGCCUUGUCUUCAUUGCUGAUCAUGACUUCAUCCUUAUACCUUAUAGCUGGCAGUGUGAACUCCCUUCUAAUCCCACCCAUCUUCCUUAUCAUACUCCACACAUCAUUAAUUUGAAUAUCCCUUCCUAUUUUACUACAGAAAUGUUGCCACUGUUGUCGCUUGGCUUGUCUAACUACUCUCCUAACAACUGCUUGGGCCUUCUUGUAUGCCACUAAGUCAUUAAAAGAAAAUGUAGCUUUAACUUUCUUAAAAGCUUUGUUCCUUUCCUGUAUAGCCUUUUUGCAGUCAUCUGUCCACCAAGGAACCAUUUUACGCUGUCCAUGGCCACUGCCCUUACCAAUAAUCUGUAAUGCAGUAGAAUGCAUAACUUCUGUUAUUAUUCCAUUAAAAUCAUCCACGCUAUCACAA